RNAcentral lists this ribosomal RNA (496 nucleotides) under uncultured bacterium. Its description in RNAcentral is "partial 16S ribosomal RNA". It matches the Rfam family "Bacterial small subunit ribosomal RNA", at positions 29 to 507 of the family's 1533-position model. The record is from RNAcentral.
AUGAACGCUGGCGGCGUGCCUAAUACAUGCAAGUCGAGCGAACGGACGAGAAGCUUGCUUCUCUGAUGUUAGCGGCGGACGGGUGAGUAACACGUGGAUAACCUACCUAUAAGACUGGGAUAACUUCGGGAAACCGGAGCUAAUACCGGAUAAUAUUUUGAACCGCAUGGUUCAAAAGUGAAAGACGGUCUUGCUGUCACUUAUAGAUGGAUCCGCGCUGCAUUAGCUAGUUGGUAAGGUAACGGCUUACCAAGGCAACGAUGCAUAGCCGACCUGAGAGGGUGAUCGGCCACACUGGAACUGAGACACGGUCCAGACUCCUACGGGAGGCGGCAGUAGGGAAUCUUCCGCAAUGGGCGAAAGCCUGACGGAGCAACGCCGCGUGAGUGAUGAAGGUCUUCGGAUCGUAAAACUCUGUUAUUAGGGAAGAACAUAUGUGUAAGUAACUGUGCACAUCUUGACGGUACCUAAUCAGAAAGCCACGGCUAACUACGUG